UGGGAUGUCCCUUAGGUCUCAGCUGAUGG
RNAcentral lists this non-coding RNA (29 nucleotides) under Mus musculus (house mouse). The record is from RNAcentral. Lineage: Eukaryota; Metazoa; Chordata; Mammalia; Rodentia; Muridae.